CAAAGUGAGAACUUUCUUCUUCCUCCUCCCCAGAACCUGAAUUCAUCUUCUUCCCAAAUAACAUCACCUAACAGUACUACCAAACAUUAAAAUACUAGAUCUACAAACUCUAAUCUUCACAAGAUCACAAACCUACCCAGAUCCCAAAAAUUCAAAACCCUAAGAUUUAAAGGAAAAAAGCUCAGAUCUAUUAUCGGAAGAACUCGGUGAUUUGGGUUCGAAGAAGAAAAAUGGAAAACAGAGGAGACCAUUUUCACCAUUUUCGCUCUCUGGGUUUUCUGUGGGAGCCACCACGAUAAUCUCACGUCAGAAAGGAGCAACUCCGUUGUCAACCACCACGAAACGGUUGUCGCUGCCAUCACAACCACUGCAAAAGAUCAAACCAGAUCAAGAGCACAAGAUUUCCCAAACCAGAAUUUUGACACUCAAAACUUAAACUGGGAAACAAGAACGGAACUUCUCAAAAUGAAAAUUGAAAUUUCAUUCGACACCCUACUGGAGCCAAUUUCAUCCAUUAAACAUAAGGAAUUUGAUUCGCCCAUCAUCUUCAACUCGGGCACAAGAAGCACCAUCUUCCCUCACGCUCAAACUCUCCCACCCUCUGUAUGCAUCCAAUAGAUUCAAAUCAAAACUGAGAAGACCAAAUGAGCCCCCUAAUCUCCACUACGCUUCCCCA
This 676-nucleotide long non-coding RNA is filed under the name Vigna radiata. RNAcentral's name for it is "long non-coding RNA (VRAD_LNC005778)". The record is from RNAcentral. Lineage: Eukaryota; Viridiplantae; Streptophyta; Magnoliopsida; Fabales; Fabaceae.